GCUCAGGCCGGGCGACCUCGGUUCCCGCCACGGCUUGCCCGCCCCACGCCUCGCGGCAGCCAGAGAGAAGAAAGGGGUGGAUCUGCAGAGGUUACCCAGCGAGGACUCCAACAGGUUCUGCCACCUCCCGCGUCUCAGCCAAGCUGCAGCCAGGGGCGCGAUGGGCAGCCCGGCAGCCCCGGCGCUCCGAGGCUCAGCUCUCCGGGACUGCUCAGGCUUUGCGCAAUUGCUGGCGGGCAAAGCCAGGUCGCUGGGUUUCUUUAAGCUCUCGUUUCCUCUUACAUGGGGGCUCCGAAAGCAAGCGCCCCGAAUCCUCGAACCCUGUCAGAGCCUUGAGCAGUGCCACCUGCGGGUGACUCGCCACUAUCGCUGGCCAGUCCUUCUGGAUACUGGCGAGAAUCAGUCAGUCAGUCGACAAUCAUUUGUUAAGCGCUGACUCUGGGCCAGGCAAUGUGCUAGGCGCAGGGAAUACCAAGAAAGGCAAAACCAGUGUUCACACUCUGUGAUGGUAAAGUCGGAAGGAAACUGAGAAAUCAGCCAGUGCGACCCUUUUGGUUUCCAGAGGAGGAAUGUGAGAUUCUGAAAACUUCUAGUGAUUUGCUCAGCAGAAUUGGCACUAGAACCUUCACUUCCUCUGAGGUGAGAAAAGUGAAGCUCCCUAAAAACUGUCCAUGAAGCUCAGUAAUUGCAAAAUCAGGACUGAAGUCAAAGUUCCGGCUCCAGAGCAGGCUUCUGUGGGAGAUCGGGAGAGGAGACAUGGGGAGAGAAGAGGGAGCUGGAAAUGGAGAGAGAGAAGAGCAGCAAAACUUCACUGAGGUGGAGGGAAGACACCUGAAUUAAUAAAAAAAAAAUCUGAAUUG
Molecule: non-coding RNA, 860 nt
Organism: Phascolarctos cinereus (koala)
Lineage: Eukaryota; Metazoa; Chordata; Mammalia; Diprotodontia; Phascolarctidae
Source: RefSeq, a predicted model, not a curated record